GUCUCUGUGGCGCAAUUGGUUAGCGCGUUCGGCUGUUAACCGAAAGGUUGCUGGUUCAAGCCCAGCCAGAGACG
Non-coding RNA from Ciona savignyi (Pacific transparent sea squirt), 74 nucleotides. NCBI's taxonomy places the organism in Eukaryota, Metazoa, Chordata, Ascidiacea, Phlebobranchia, Cionidae. The record is from Rfam.